Molecule: ribosomal RNA, 253 nt
Filed under: uncultured bacterium
Lineage: Bacteria
Description: partial 16S ribosomal RNA
Rfam family: Bacterial small subunit ribosomal RNA
Source: RNAcentral
UACAGAGGGGGCUAGCGUUGUUCGGAAUUACUGGGCGUAAAGGGCUCGUAGGCGGCCAACUAAGUCAGACGUGAAAUCCCCAGGCUCAACCUGGGAACUGCGUCUGAUACUGAUUGGCUUGAAUCCGGGAGAGGGAUGCAGAAUUCCAGGUGUAGCGGUGAAAUGCGUAGAUAUUUGGAGGAAUACCGGUGGCGAAGGCGGCAUCCUGGACCGGCAUUGACGCUGAGGAGCGAAAGCCAGGGGAGCAAACGGG